This 380-nucleotide ribosomal RNA is filed under the name uncultured eukaryote. RNAcentral describes it as "partial 18S ribosomal RNA". It matches the Rfam family "Eukaryotic small subunit ribosomal RNA", at positions 592 to 976 of the family's 1831-position model. The record is from RNAcentral.
CAAUAGCGUAUAUUAAAGUUGUUGCGGUUAAAAAGCUCGUAGUUGGAUUUCUGCCGAGGACGACCGGUCCGCCCUCUGGGUGUGUAUCUGGUUUGGCCUGGGCAUCUUCUUGGAGAACGUAGCUGCACUUGACUGUGUGGUGCGGUGUCCAGGACUUUUACUUUGAGGAAAUUAGAGUGUUUCAAGCAGGCACACGCCUUGAAUACAUUAGCAUGGAAUAAUAAGAUAGGACCUCGGUUCUAUUUUGUUGGUUUCUAGAGCUGAGGUAAUGAUUAAUAGGGAUAGUUGGGGGCAUUCGUAUUUAACUGUCAGAGGUGAAAUUCUUGGAUUUGUCAAAGACGGACUACUGCGAAAGCAUUUGCCAAGGAUGUUUUCAUUGA